This 337-nucleotide long non-coding RNA is filed under the name Homo sapiens (human). Its description in RNAcentral is "LHRI_LNC1903.1". Lineage: Eukaryota; Metazoa; Chordata; Mammalia; Primates; Hominidae. The record is from RNAcentral.
CAGAGCUUAGUUCUUUAUUAAUAAGUCUGGUGGUUCUUUGAGCAGUGUGUAACUUCCAUUGGGGAGCUCCGUGCGCACAGUGCACGCCGACCACCAGGUGGCAGUGUCGUCCCACAAGUUAACCUACAAAGGCUUUAAUGAGCCUUUGGAAGUAACGACGGUUUUCUUUUACCAGACAAAGUAAACCUUUCAUUUGUAAAAACCCAGUUGGCAUGUUUUACCCAAUCCUUUGAAGGAAGUUAUUUCUAAAGGUAUUUAUAGCUAGUUUCUAGAGGAUAGAUGUUCUAGGAGUUGACAAAUGGCCCAGAUUUCCAGCAACACUUCAUCCAUCCCAGCC